AAAGGCCAAUCAAACCGGGAGAUAGCUGGUUCUCCCCGAAAGCUAUUUAGGUAGCGCCUCGUGAAUUCAUCUCCGGGGGUAGAGCACUGUUUCGGCAAGGGGGUCAUCCCGACUUACCAACCCGAUGCAAACUGCGAAUACCGGAGAAUGUUAUCACGGGAGACACACGGCGGGUGCUAACGUCCGUCGUGAAGAGGGAAACAACCCAGACCGCCAGCUAAGGUCCCAAAGUCAUGGUUAAGUGGGAAACGAUGUGGGAAGGCCCAGACAGCCAGGAUGUUGGCUUAGAAGCAGCCAUCAUUUAAAGAAAGCGUAAUAGCUCACUGGUCGAGUCGGCCUGCGCGGAAGAUGUAACGGGGCUAAACCAUGCACCGAAGCUGCGGCAGCGACACUAUGUGUUGUUGGGUAGGGGAGCGUUCUGUAAGCCUGUGAAGGUGGCCUGUGAGGGUUGCUGGAGGUAUCAGAAGUGCGAAUGCUGACAUAAGUAACGAUAAAGCGGGUGAAAAGCCCGCUCGCCGGAAGACCAAGGGUUCCUGUCCAACGUUAAUCGGGGCAGGGUGAGUCGACCCCUAAGGCGAGGCCGAAAGGCGUAGUCGAUGGGAAACAGGUUAAUAUUCCUGUACUUGGUGUUACUGCGAAGGGGGGACGGAGAAGGCUAUGUUGGCCGGGCGACGGUUGUCCCGGUUUAAGCGUGUAGGCUGGUUUUCCAGGCAAAUCCGGAAAACCAAGGCUGAGGCGUGAUGACGAGGCACUACGGUGCUGAAGCGACAAAUGCCCUGCUUCCAGGAAAAGCCUCUAAGCAUCAGGUAACAUCAAAUCGUACCCCAAACCGACACAGGUGGUCAGGUAGAGAAUACCAAGGCGCUUGAGAGAACUCGGGUGAAGGAACUAGGCAAAAUGGUGCCGUAACUUCGGGAGAAGGCACGCUGAUAUGUAGGUGAAGCGACUUGCUCGUGGAGCUGAAAUCAGUCGAAGAUACCAGCUGGCUGCAACUGUUUAUUAAAAACACAGCACUGUGCAAACACGAAAGUGGACGUAUACGGUGUGACGCCUGCCCGGUGCCGGAAGGUUAAUUGAUGGGGUUAGCGGUAACGCGAAGCUCUUGAUCGAAGCCCCGGUAAACGGCGGCCGUAACUAUAACGGUCCUAAGGUAGCGAAAUUCCUUGUCGGGUAAGUUCCGACCUGCACGAAUGGCGUAAUGAUGGCCAGGCUGUCUCCACCCGAGACUCAGUGAAAUUGAACUCGCUGUGAAGAUGCAGUGUACCCGCGGCAAGACGGAAAGACCCCGUGAACCUUUACUAUAGCUUGACACUGAACAUUGAGCCUUGAUGUGUAGGAUAGGUGGGAGGCUUUGAAGUGUGGACGCCAGUCUGCAUGGAGCCGACCUUGAAAUACCACCCUUUAAUGUUUGAUGUUCUAACGUUGGCCCGUAAUCCGGGUUGCGGACAGUGUCUGGUGGGUAGUUUGACUGGGGCGGUCUCCUCCUAAAGAGUAACGGAGGAGCACGAAGGUUGGCUAAUCCUGGUCGGACAUCAGGAGGUUAGUGCAAUGGCAUAAGCCAGCUUGACUGCGAGCGUGACGGCGCGAGCAGGUGCGAAAGCAGGUCAUAGUGAUCCGGUGGUUCUGAAUGGAAGGGCCAUCG
Molecule: ribosomal RNA, 1642 nt
Filed under: human gut metagenome
Description: bacterial LSU rRNA
Rfam family: Bacterial large subunit ribosomal RNA
Source: RNAcentral